UGACCAAACAGCACAAGUCACCGCAACCCUUGUGGAUCAGAACAGAGCCACGCGACAACUUUUCUCCUCCAUCCCCUUCCUCACCGCACUCGUCCGGGACGGCGGCGGCGCUGCCUAGAAGCUGUUCCGGCGGCAUGUCUACCGAUGGCGCAAGCUAAACAGGGGCGUCGACGGAGCUGCGGUGUGGACCGCUCCAGUACUGCCACUGGAGUCUCAGGAUUCCAUGAGCGUGGUGAAUGUCGAGGGGGUCGCCGCCGGCAAGCCGCGCGCCGUGGGAGAGGCAGCCACAGAUGACGUUUGCUCUGAAGCGACAAGUGGGUGGACGCGAAGGUUAGUCAGGGAAACACCACUGCAAAUCAUUUUGUUUAGGAAAAAAUGCACGAUGAAUGGGUCGCUCAUGGACCAGUGAUUAGCAGCAUUGCAGCAAGUGUUGAUUUUUGGCCAUACUGGACCAAGACAUUUUGAUGGGUGGUUAGUUGUCCUUCAUUGGAUUUUUAGGGAAUCUGCCUGAUGGAUGGUUUACUAGUGAGAUGUUAUUAGGAGCAAGUAGUAUUUCUUUUAGCAAAUGGGUAUUUUGGAGAGAUUCGACAUGUUUGAUGACUAAUUAGGCACAUGUGGGGGGAAAGGGGUGCAAGCACAGGUGGGAUUGGUUUGUUUUGGCUGUUGUCUUGAUGGCAAAUUAUGUCGAUUUUUUGGUGUACACAUGCUUGUUAUUGUAGCAUGGGGGGCGGAUAACGCUGUGGGAGACAUAAUCUGUUUGAUUCCCUUGUUUGAUGCACUCCCGAUAGCAAUAUAGAUUAAGAGUUUGGGUUUAUAUGAGAUGGUUAUUGGAUCAGUCGUGUGUCGGCUUGGAUUUUAGUUUAAAUGUUUCAGCGGGAGUAUUGUUAUGGAGAUGGAUGCACAGCAUAAAUGUUCUGACGUGGGUAAAUAUAUAGGUGAAUCCUGGAGUUGGAAUUAGACGCUUCAUUUUAGCUGUGUUCCUGAGGAUUUUCAUAGUGCGCAUCCAUGGCUGUACCAAAAUGCACUCACUUGGGCUGUAGUACAUAUCUUUUUAUGUUCAUCUAAGUUGUUUCCGGGAUAGCUGAGCAUUUUCCUCCGUCAUUUUUUUGCCAAAUACUUCUUCUUCAGGGUUAGGAUUGGAAGGCGCCCGAGGAGAGGGAAAUGAACCCUGAUAGGAAAACAACACUUGAAUUGUCAGUGCGUGCUUAUGCAGAGACGAGGCAUGGGCCUGUUGUCAAUCCAGAAACCGGGACCGCUUUUGACUCGUUGGACGAAGCUUAUGAGUUCUACAAUCUAUAUUCGUGGGAAUGUGGUUUCGUUGUCAGGCUUGCAAAAAGCAGAAUGAAUGUUCGUCGGAAGAGAUGCAUGCAAGAAAUACUGUGCGCUUGUGCGGACAAACCAAUGAGGAAGAACAGUCGGUCUUCAAGGUGUGGGUGUGAAGCCAUGAUCAGACUGCUCCGUCCAAACUUCACUUGAAUUGUCCGUGCGUGCUUAUGCACAGAAAAGUCAUGGUCCUGUUGUCAAUCCAGCAAUUGGGCAAACCAAUGAGGGAAAACAGUCGCUCGUCAAGGUGUGGCUGCGAAGCAAUGAUCAGACUGAUUCAUUCAGGGAGAUGUCCCAGUAGUCUAAUGAUUUCUGUAACGGACUGUUUGUAUCAUCUAUUCCUCUGGCAAAAAUGUUAAUGACUUGUUCCCGGACAAAACCACCCAUUCUUUGUGUACUGUAAGUCAAUGGUUCAACUAAGGUUUUGGCUUGGUCGUUCGACUAAUUAA
Molecule: long non-coding RNA, 1772 nt
Organism: Triticum aestivum (bread wheat)
Lineage: Eukaryota; Viridiplantae; Streptophyta; Magnoliopsida; Poales; Poaceae
Exons: 4
Source: RefSeq, a predicted model, not a curated record